This is a non-coding RNA of Acanthosepion pharaonis, 114 nucleotides long. NCBI's taxonomy places the organism in Eukaryota, Metazoa, Mollusca, Cephalopoda, Sepiida, Sepiidae. The record is from the annotation of a GenBank genome assembly.
UUACGACCAUAUCACGCUGAAACUCCGGUUCCCGUACGAUCACAGAUCUUAAGCAACGUCGAGCCUGGUCAGUGGCUAGAUGCGUGAACGCUUGGGAAUACCAGGUGCUGUAAG